AGAGUUUUGAGUCCUGGCGUCAGGAUGAACGGCUGGCGGCGGUGCCUAAUACAUGCAAGUCGAGCGAACCACUUCGGUGGGAAGCGGCGAACGGGUGAGGUAACACGUAGGUAAUCUGCCCAUCAGACGGGGACAACGAUUGGAAACGAUCGCUAAUACCGGAUAGGACGAAAGUUUAAAGAUGCUCCUGGCAUCACUGAUGGAUGAGCCUGCGGCGCAUUAGCUAGUUGGUGGGGUAAAGGCCUACCAAGGCGACGAUGCGUAGCCGACCUGAGAGGGUGAACGGCCACACUGGGACUGAGACACGGCCCAGACUCCUACGGGAGGCAGCAGUAGGGAAUCUUCGGCAAUGGGCGAAAGCCUGACCGAGCAACGCCGCGUGAAUGAAGAAGGCCUUCGGGUUGUAAAAUUCUAGUUAUAAGGGAAGAAAGGUGAUAGGAGGAAAUGACUAUCAAUUGACGGUACCUUAUGAGAAAGCCACGGCUAACUACGUG
Molecule: ribosomal RNA, 494 nt
Filed under: uncultured Turicibacter sp.
Lineage: Bacteria; Bacillati; Bacillota; Erysipelotrichia; Erysipelotrichales; Turicibacteraceae
Description: bacterial SSU rRNA
Rfam family: Bacterial small subunit ribosomal RNA
Source: RNAcentral